UGGGGAAUAUUGCACAAUGGGCGAAAGCCUGAUGCAGCGACGCCGCGUGCGGGAUGAAGGCCUUCGGGUUGUAAACCGCUUUUAAUUGGGAGCAAGCGAGAGUGAGUGUACCUUUUGAAUAAGCACCGGCUAACUACGUGCCAGCAGCCGCGGUAAUACGUAGGGUGCAAGCGUUAUCCGGAAUUAUUGGGCGUAAAGAGCUCGUAGGCGGUUUGUCACGCCUGGUGUGAAAGUCCAUCGCUUAACGGUGGAUCUGCGCCGGGUACGGGCAGGCUAGAGUGCAGUAGGGGAGAUUGGAAUUCCCGGUGUAACGGUGGAAUGUGUAGAUAUCGGGAAGAACACCAAUGGCGAAGGCAGAUCUCUGGGCUGUUACUGACGCUGAGGAGCGAAAGCAUGGGGAGCGAACAGGAUUAGAUACCCGUGGUAGUCCAUGCCGUAAAACGGUGGAUGCUGGAUGUGGGACCC
This 465-nucleotide ribosomal RNA is filed under the name uncultured bacterium. RNAcentral describes it as "partial 16S ribosomal RNA". It matches the Rfam family "Bacterial small subunit ribosomal RNA", at positions 355 to 830 of the family's 1533-position model. The record is from RNAcentral.